Molecule: ribosomal RNA, 355 nt
Filed under: uncultured bacterium
Lineage: Bacteria
Description: bacterial SSU rRNA
Rfam family: Bacterial small subunit ribosomal RNA
Source: RNAcentral
AAUGAACGUUGGCGGCGUGGAUUAGGCAUGCAAGUCGAAUGCGAACGUAGCAAUACUAGUAGCAUGGCGAAAGGGAUAGUAAUGCAUGGGCAAUCUACCCUCGACUCCGGGAUAUGCGGCGGAAACGCCGAGUAAUACUGGACGCCGUUUAGUGGGGACAUCCCUGUUGAACGAAAGGUCCGCCGGUCGAGGAGGAGCUCAUGUCCUAUCAGCUAGUUGGUGAGGAACGGCUCACCAAGGCGACGACGGGUAGCGGGUGUGAGAGCACGACCCGCAUCACUGGCACUGAGACACUGGCCAGACUCCUACGGGAGGCUGCAGUCGAGAAUCUUCGGCAAUGGACGAAAGUCUGACC